RNAcentral lists this ribosomal RNA (499 nucleotides) under uncultured bacterium. Its description in RNAcentral is "bacterial SSU rRNA". It matches the Rfam family "Bacterial small subunit ribosomal RNA", at positions 28 to 526 of the family's 1533-position model. The record is from RNAcentral.
GAUGAACGCUAGCGGCAGGCUUAACACAUGCAAGUCGAGGGGUAUAGUUAGCUUGCUAAUUAGAGACCGGCGCACGGGUGCGUAACGCGUAUGCAAUCUACCUUUCACAGAGGGAUAGCCCAGAGAAAUUUGGAUUAAUACCUCAUAGUAUAAUGAGUUGGCAUCAACCCAUUAUUAAAGUCACAACGGUGAAAGAUGAGCAUGCGUCCCAUUAGCUAGUUGGUAUGGUAACGGCAUACCAAGGCAACGAUGGGUAGGGGUCCUGAGAGGGAGAUCCCCCACACUGGUACUGAGACACGGACCAGACUCCUACGGGAGGCAGCAGUGAGGAAUAUUGGACAAUGGGCGCAAGCCUGAUCCAGCCAUGCCGCGUGCAGGAUGACGGUCCUAUGGAUUGUAAACUGCUUUUGCACAGGAAGAAACAACAUUACGUGUAAUGUCUUGACGGUACUGUGAGAAUAAGGAUCGGCUAACUCCGUGCCAGCCGCCGCCGUAACAC